Molecule: ribosomal RNA, 193 nt
Filed under: uncultured Actinomycetes bacterium
Lineage: Bacteria; Bacillati; Actinomycetota; Actinomycetes
Description: uncultured actinobacterium partial 16S ribosomal RNA
Rfam family: Bacterial small subunit ribosomal RNA
Source: RNAcentral
CCUACGGAAGGCAGCAGUGGGGAAUCUUGCGCAAUGGGCGAAAGCCUGACGCAGCGACGCCGCGUGAGGGACGACGGCCUUCGGGUUGUAAACCUCUUUCAGGAGGGACGAAGCUACUCGGGUUAAUAGCCCAGAGGGUGACGGUACCUCCAGAAGAAGCCCCGGCUAACUACGUGCCAGCAGCCGCGGUAAU